RNAcentral lists this ribosomal RNA (468 nucleotides) under uncultured bacterium. Its description in RNAcentral is "partial 16S ribosomal RNA". It matches the Rfam family "Bacterial small subunit ribosomal RNA", at positions 28 to 507 of the family's 1533-position model. The record is from RNAcentral.
GACGAACGCUGGCGGCGUGCUUAACACAUGCAAGUCGAACGGAAAGGCCCUGCUUUUGUUGGGUGCUCGAGUGGCGAACGGGUGAGUAACACGCGAGUAACCUGCCCUUGACUUUGUGAUAACUUCAGGAAACUGGGGCUAAUACCGGAUAGGAGCUCUUGCUGCAUGGUGGGGGUUGGAAAGUUUCGGCGUUUGUGGAUGGACUCGCGGCUUAUCAGCUUGUUGGUGGGGUAGUGGCUUACGAAGGCUUUGACGGAUAGCCGGCCUGAGAGGGUGACCGGCCACAUUGGGACUACGAUACGGACCAGACUCCUACGGGAGGCAGCAGUGGGGAAUCUUGCAGAAUGGGCGGAAGCCUGAUGCAGCAGCGCCGCGUGCGGGAUGCCGGCCUUCGGGUUGUGAACCGAUUUCGCCUGUGACAAAGCGUGAGUGACGGUAAUGGGUAAAGAAGCACCGGCUAACUACGUG